UUUUUUUUUCUUCUUCUUCUUCUUUCAGGUUUUGGAUGUUUGAGGGUGUGUCUUUUCAAAAGUAUAUAAGAUGGGUUUUUCCAUGUAAAAACAACUUCACAAGAUUCAGAGUGAGGAAAUAAGAGCUAACUUCUCAGACAAAUUAAGCAUUAUUCCCCAUGAUGGCUAACCAUCAAAAUCACAAGGCUGGGCAAUUUCACUACACUGAGCAUCAACCUCGCCAGGCACCUGGGCAACGGUAUCACAACAAUGAGCAUCAACCUCGCCGGGUACCUGGGCAACAAUAUCACAACACUGAGACUCAACCUCGCCACGCACCUGGGCAACGGUAUCACAAUACUGAUCCUCGACCUCGCCAUGGACCUGGGCAACGGUAUCACAACACUGAUCCUCGACCUCGCCGUGCACCUGGGCAACGGUAUCACAACACUGAUCCUCAACCUCGCCAGGCACCUGGGCACCAGUAUUACUACACUGAGAAUAAUCUCGGAGAAGAGCUCGCAGAAGAGCUCGGAAAAGAACUUGUAAACCAGCUGGGAGAAGAGGACAGCAACGAUUAUUAUGAUGAAGAUUACUAAAGUUGGGUCAAAAUGAAAUCUUAACGGUUGCACUGAUCACCACAAACCCCUGAGCUAAGCAAAGUGUAUCUAACAAACUACUAUUCAAACAGCUGAGGCAUUGUUUUCCUCAAGGUGAAGAUCAACAUACACCUCACAAUGAAGGACAAUCAAAUGAAACACAUAAAAUAAAUCACUGUAGAUUGGGAUGCAACUGCUUGAAUUUCAUGUAAUCUUGAUAUGAAAUCAAAUAAAAUGUAAC
This 819-nucleotide long non-coding RNA is filed under the name Carassius auratus (goldfish). Its description in RNAcentral is "lncRNA (ENSCARG00000026667.1)". The record is from RNAcentral. Lineage: Eukaryota; Metazoa; Chordata; Actinopteri; Cypriniformes; Cyprinidae.